Molecule: long non-coding RNA, 969 nt
Organism: Manis pentadactyla (Chinese pangolin)
Lineage: Eukaryota; Metazoa; Chordata; Mammalia; Pholidota; Manidae
Exons: 3
Source: RefSeq, a predicted model, not a curated record
UCGCUUUAGCAGUGAAGUCUAAUGCACCCCUUUAAUAGUUGCUUAGUUCAAAAUUAUAAAAAUUUAUAACCAGUUCUUGUAGAUCAUUCUACAAAUAUUCUGUAAAACUGUUUCUAUUUUUAAUUCUUUCUCUGGUUUCCUCCACAUCCCUAACGUUGUUACUACUUCACACACCAACUUUCGUCUCUAUCGCCUUCCUGCUAGGACAGUAAAAAUGGAAACUUAAUUCUUAAGUUCUUUUGAAGGCUGUAUAAAAUUUUAAAGUCAUAGGUAUUCUUUUUUGAAAAAUUAAAAAUAGUUACUCUUUUAAGGGCUUUUAUGUAAAUAUCACACUAAUAAACACAAUUUAACUCCAGGAGAUUGGAGUACUAAUUAAUAUUUGGGUGGAGCCAGUUGUCACGUUAAAGAAAUCCACAGCCUGAUGUUCACACACCACACGGCGCGUGUAACCACUUCUCGCGGGUCGGGGAAGUGCCGCUCACGCCCUUUUAAAAGGACGGUACCCGCCCAUGGCCCCGCCCCCUUAUAGCUAAAGAUCUCAAAAGGCUCCAACGCAGCCUCCCCUUAAAGGGGAAACCUAUUUCUGUCGGCUAAAAAGGGAACUUCCAGCCGCAGCUUGCCUUAAGGUCCCAGGUCGGGGUGGCGGACUGUCUCCUGAAGCCUGAAUCUUGAGUGAGGGACACUGCAAGGGCCUGGCAAGAAGACCCAGUUGUUCCUGGAAUACAGUGUUGUCUGGGUUUGGCCGCCCAGCCUCUGGAGCACUCUGUUUUCGAAGCCUGGGUGUGCAACCGCACUGGCUGCUCCUCCUGGAGAGCUUCCAUGCUUGGGGAACAAGAAUGCUUCCACGUGCCACCAAGACAGACUUCAAGCUUCAAGAGAGGAGCUUAUUUGGGACUUUGCCCUCUGUAUCUUCACCUGGAUGUUAACUUGUAUCCUUUAUAGUAUCUUUUAUUAAACUGGUAAAUGUGU